Molecule: long non-coding RNA, 1848 nt
Organism: Eriocheir sinensis (Chinese mitten crab)
Lineage: Eukaryota; Metazoa; Arthropoda; Malacostraca; Decapoda; Varunidae
Exons: 3
Source: RefSeq, a predicted model, not a curated record
AGUCUCUUUGUGGCCGUGAGCAAGACGGAGGCCCCGAGCAGUGUCUAUUUUCGGGGAUUACUGUGUUCUGUGUUCUUGCUGGCUGCUACAAUCGCUACAGGAAGGACAUGAGACUCUGUAGAUACUCCCGUGGGCCUGAAAUGAAGAUGGCGUGGAGGAAGAAGGCCAGAAACGAAGAAUUACCCAGCGGAUGGUUCACGCAUGGGCCAAAGUUGACCCAGUGGUGGAGAGUGGUGGGAGGAUUUGCACCAGGGCUGGUUUUGCUUUUCCACUGAGAUGACCAACAGCAAAGUGGUGAAGGUUCAUGCAGACUCAGCAUUGUCAACUCCUCCACGCCCAGAAUGUUUUCCAGAGAUAGAAUGUGCCAGAUGCAUCACUACCUCUCAGUUUUUUGGUGCAGGAGUAACAGAUGAAGGUUUUGCAGAAAGGAUGCACUGCUGCACACCUUCUGAAAAGCAAUACCCGAGUCUCUCCGUCUUACCCCAGUGACGAUGGACAUGAAUGGAGCCCUACCUACCAUAGUCCAUUCACUAUAGCUGGAUCCCAAGCUCCUAGCCGAGUAGGGGAGGACGCUACUGAUUGGUGGGUGGGAUGUCUGUCGUCUGUGCCACCCAUCAUACUCAUGUAGAUUCAGGAAAUAUUCAUACUUCUUUACAUAGGUUAGAUGUUACAAAGAUAAGAAAAUUUUGUUGACAUCAUUGGAUUAAGCUGUGAUUUUACCUGUAACAAUUUUCAAAACUCACUAGGAUAAAAGAAUAAGUAAUUACAGUGAGUACAAGUCAGGAAAUAACAUUUGCUUAUUAUCAAUACAGGAUGUUCCAUGAGUUGAGGUACCGUACAUACUUUAGGGCAUGAUAACUUGUCAUUGUAAGUAUAAGAAUAACUCAUAUGUUGUUUUUUGCUUCUUAUUGCAAGAAAUUGAGCUUUAAUAUUUGUUCAUUGCCAGUGUUGCUUGUUGGUGAACCUACAGUAAUGAACAUUUAUUUGCACAAUCUAAGUGCUUAAAUCUUCACAGAGAACUGUUAUUAAGUGACAGGUUAAUGUUUUUUUCUGCUAGAUGAAGAGAAUGUGCAUGGCCACUCCCCACAGCCAGCCUAUUCUGUAAAUGUCAUAUACUACUAACAUGAAACUUUUCUAGUAUUCUUUCUAAAUGUUGUGUCAUGUUGUUGUAGUUGUUUGUGUGAGUCUGCCCCUCCCGUCCUGCUCCACAAAUAUUCUGGAAUUACCCUGUUACAUGAACCUUGAGGUUUCCAUUUUACUGAAUUAAUUGAAGAAUACUAUGUCUGAAUAAUCAAUGUUAUAUUUAAUAAAAGAUAUUUUUGAGUUAAUCAGCAGACUGCCAUUUGUGGCCAUGGCAAGCGCCUUAAAAGCAUUACUUAACUACUAGAAUGUCAUUGUGUUACAUGCACACUUCAUCUGGCAGGCAUAAAAACUUAAACUGCUACUUAAAAACUGUCCUGUGUAAAGAUUUGAGCACCAAGAUCGUGGUGCAAUUAAACAUUCGACUCAACACAGAACUGAACAAAUUUAUAUCUCCAAUUUCUUGCAGUAUGAAAUGAAAAAUGUGUAAAGCAUAUUUUUUAAAUGACCAGAAUUACCAUACCCUGAAGUAUGUACAAUUGCGAGCAGAAGACACGAAGCCUCCCCUUCCACCACCUUAGCAUAGUAAGGUGCAUAUCUUGCUUGGCAACAGUGAAAGUUUUCAUGGAUCUUCACUCAUGGGUUCAGUUUACUGUCGUUUCGAAACGUAGGUCUCUGCGUGUCUGACUCAGGCUGGCUAAAUCUCACUCGAGGUGUGUGUUGUAUAUGAUUCACCACGGCCUGAUCACGAGUUGGACUCGUAAUCGC